UGCAGUGACAGAGUGUCUGUAAAAUGUUCCUGAGCCCUUACAGUGUCUUUUUAACGCAGUGUCACCUGAGGGCCUGAAGAUACUGACUGUUGGCCUUGCAAACAGAGAAAGGACUCUGGACGAGAACACAUCCACAUUCAAUGCAGGAGAGCCACAAAUGCAUAUCCCUCAGGUCUGUGCAGCA
RNAcentral lists this long non-coding RNA (184 nucleotides) under Astyanax mexicanus (Mexican tetra). RNAcentral's name for it is "lncRNA (ENSAMXG00005019335.1)". The record is from RNAcentral. Lineage: Eukaryota; Metazoa; Chordata; Actinopteri; Characiformes; Acestrorhamphidae.